Oryctolagus cuniculus (rabbit) is the source of this 880-nucleotide non-coding RNA. The record is from RefSeq and is a predicted model, not a curated record. NCBI's taxonomy places the organism in Eukaryota, Metazoa, Chordata, Mammalia, Lagomorpha, Leporidae.
AAUAUGGUGAAGACGUCUGAUGAGCCAGCUAAUUUUGGUAGGAGGAGAACAUUCUGGCUAGCUGCUGAAGGAUGCUUUUCCCUGGAAUUCCAUUUAUUGUCACCAAGAUCCUCCAAGGAGCUGAGCGCUUGCAGCUGACAUUGCCUUGAGUAUGAUGAAGCCCAGGAAGCUGACGGGCAGGGAGUCAAUGGACCCUUUCAGCGUCCAGAGGGUCAGACCACCGCAAUCCACUAUCAACAGUGUCACCAACAACAAAGUGUCAUUCCCCAAAAUAAAGUUGAAAUUCUGUAUACAGACAGAAGGAGCCGAGUCCACAGGCAUCCUGCAGGGGGCGCAAAGGCGCUCCUCAGAUCGUUUGGAAACUACUUGGAAAAUGUUCACUUCUAGCUGCUUUUCUGAAACCUGGGAGGCCCUGCGGCUUCUGAUCAUUGACUCUUCAGUUGGAGGAAGUGCUUCCUAGCCUUACAGGUACUGAGUGCUUCCAUUGGUUCCAGAGACCCCGCUGAUGACCAGCAAGGAUGGUCCCACACCACAGUCUUCCAGACAUAGCCGCCUUCUAGAAGUCCUGUUCCCUUCCUGCAGGCCUCCAAGCUCUGAGAGGGCAGAAAAGAUGUGAUAAGGAUACUUUGAAUGGGAAUAACUGAAUGAGUAUUUCAAGAUUCCCUGAAGCUCCCAAAAUGUUAUAAUACAAAAGAAAAAUGAAUCUAAAACACUUGCCUCAAAUUUUGUCUACACCAUGGUUUCAAAUCAAAAUUUUUCAAAGGUAGAGUAAGAAAACCAACAUGAGAAAUCCAUUUGGUUGAAAAUUCUUAGUGUAUUAGGGUGAUAAAUACUGGGCAGUUUUUCCUGUUUCCCAAAAUGUGUUUUAAAUAACAAUAAA